ACCUGAUUUCCAUGCCGAACUCAGAAGUGAAACGAAUUAGCGCCGAUGGUAGUGUGGGGCUUCCCCAUGUGAGAGUAGGACAUCGUCAGGC
Molecule: ribosomal RNA, 91 nt
Filed under: Vibrio panuliri
Lineage: Bacteria; Pseudomonadati; Pseudomonadota; Gammaproteobacteria; Vibrionales; Vibrionaceae
Source: RNAcentral